GAAACGUUUGAGGGGUAUGUGUAUGUAUGUGUGUGUGUGUUUGUCCUGGGUUGAAUGUAAAAUUAUUUCUGACUGGGGACUAGGGUAAAAGAAAAUUUUGAAGCCAGGCGUGAGUCACUGCACCCAGCCAGGAUUCUAACAAUUUCAAAGGAUUUUUAUAUGUAAUUGUCAACAUGCAAAUUAUUAUGUUAAAUUCAAGUGUUAAGUCUACAUAUUAAUGUAGCCCAUUUAUUUACUCUUAGACUCUCUCCCUAGAAAUGUAUCGUUAGUGUUCAUUCAUCUGCUUGUUCUUUCUUUUAAUGACUUUUUUUGAGCAUCUAUUUUGUGCUGAGUGCUGUGCUUGUGCUUGAGAUAUUACAGUGAACAACA
Long non-coding RNA from Homo sapiens (human), 369 nucleotides. The record is from Ensembl. NCBI's taxonomy places the organism in Eukaryota, Metazoa, Chordata, Mammalia, Primates, Hominidae.